UGUGUGUGUGUAUUUGUUGGGACAGGUGACUCUGGAGGUGCAGUGUACAGGAACUAUGAGCAACGCACAAUUCAGGUUGCAUUGGUCAGCUGGGGAACCAAGGAUCUGUGCAAGACUCGUGGUAAUAUGGCGGAGUCAGAUGACACCUCCAGAGAUUUCCAUAUUAAUCUUUUCAGAGUUGUCCGUUUUCUCAAAUCUGUCCUUGGAAAUGACACCCUUGAAUAUGAACCACUUCCAUUUUUGGAGAGUUGAAUGCAUUUACAUACCGUAAUUUGUUUUGCUGUUUCAAUUAUAUGACUGUGUAUACCGUAUGUUUAAAAGCAUUUGAUGCACUGAUGAUUUAAUUAAUUCAAUCACUCGUUCAGUUUUUGUCAGACUAUAAGUUCAUAAUGAAAAAGAUGCAAUUUUCAGAUGGCAUGUUCUCAUCAAAAGCAUACAUACUGUACAUACACAUGUUCACAGAAAAAUAGUAUAAUUUUGCAUAAUAAGCUUAUCUGUAUCAACCAUUCUCAAAAUGUGCAAUUACAGUCAUGCUAGUCUGUACUUUAUCUAAUACACAUACAUUUAUUCUUCAUUUAUUCAGCAGUAACCUGUGUCUUAAUGUUUUUGAAGAGAAGCUAAUCCAAAUCGUAUACACUCUGAAUCAGGGUUAGCAACAUGACAGUAGUAUAUGUGCUUGCUGACUGUUACGCCAUUGUGGCAACUGUUUCUAAACAAUUAAAACGGCUUAAUGGUAA
Molecule: long non-coding RNA, 737 nt
Organism: Micropterus dolomieu (smallmouth bass)
Lineage: Eukaryota; Metazoa; Chordata; Actinopteri; Centrarchiformes; Centrarchidae
Exons: 2
Source: RefSeq, a predicted model, not a curated record